RNAcentral lists this ribosomal RNA (164 nucleotides) under Cicca oreichtita. Its description in RNAcentral is "Phyllanthus oreichtitus 5.8S ribosomal RNA". It matches the Rfam family "5.8S ribosomal RNA". From Rfam's summary of the family: 5.8S ribosomal RNA (5.8S rRNA) is a component of the large subunit of the eukaryotic ribosome. The record is from RNAcentral. Lineage: Eukaryota; Viridiplantae; Streptophyta; Magnoliopsida; Malpighiales; Phyllanthaceae.
AAAAUGACUCUCGGCAACGGAUAUCUCGGCUCUCGCAUCGAUGAAGAACGUAGCGAAAUGCGAUACUUGGUGUGAAUUGCAGAAUCCCGUGAACCAUCGAGUCUUUGAACGCAAGUUGCGCCCAAAGCCUUUUGGCCGAGGGCACGCCUGCCUGGGUGUCACGC